This 440-nucleotide ribosomal RNA is filed under the name uncultured bacterium. RNAcentral describes it as "bacterial SSU rRNA". It matches the Rfam family "Bacterial small subunit ribosomal RNA", at positions 338 to 770 of the family's 1533-position model. The record is from RNAcentral.
CCUACGGGUGGCAGCAGUGGGGAAUAUUGGACAAUGGGCGAAAGCCUGAUCCAGCCAUGCCGCGUGUGUGAAGAAGGUCUUCGGAUUGUAAAGCACUUUAAGUUGGGAGGAAGGGCAGUAAGUUAAUACCUUGCUGUUUUGACGUUACCAACAGAAUAAGCACCGGCUAACUUCGUGCCAGCAGCCGCGGUAAUACGAAGGGUGCAAGCGUUAAUCGGAAUUACUGGGCGUAAAGCGCGCGUAGGUGGUUCAGCAAGUUGGAGGUGAAAUCCCCGGGCUCAACCUGGGAACUGCCUCCAAAACUACUGAGCUAGAGUACGGUAGAGGGUAGUGGAAUUUCCUGUGUAGCGGUGAAAUGCGUAGAUAUAGGAAGGAACACCAGUGGCGAAGGCGACUACCUGGACUGAUACUGACACUGAGGUGCGAAAGCGUGGGGAGCA